RNAcentral lists this ribosomal RNA (549 nucleotides) under Cladosporium sp. J-41. Its description in RNAcentral is "eukaryotic LSU rRNA". The stretch from base 193 to 346 matches the Rfam family "5.8S ribosomal RNA". The record is from RNAcentral. Lineage: Eukaryota; Fungi; Ascomycota; Dothideomycetes; Cladosporiales; Cladosporiaceae.
AUUAGUCUCGUAGGUGACCUGCGGAGGGAUCAUUACAAGUUGACCCCGGCCCUCGGGCCGGGAUGUUCACAACCCUUUGUUGUCCGACUCUGUUGCCUCCGGGGCGACCCUGCCUCCGGGCGGGGGCCCCGGGUGGACAUUUCAAACUCUUGCGUAACUUUGCAGUCUGAGUAAAUUUAAUUAAUAAAUUAAAACUUUCAACAACGGAUCUCUUGGUUCUGGCAUCGAUGAAGAACGCAGCGAAAUGCGAUAAGUAAUGUGAAUUGCAGAAUUCAGUGAAUCAUCGAAUCUUUGAACGCACAUUGCGCCCCCUGGUAUUCCGGGGGGCAUGCCUGUUCGAGCGUCAUUUCACCACUCAAGCCUCGCUUGGUAUUGGGCGACGCGGUCCGCCGCGCGCCUCAAAUCGACCGGCUGGGUCUUUCGUCCCCUCAGCGUUGUGGAAACUAUUCGCUAAAGGGUGCCGCGGGAGGCCACGCCGUAAAACAACCCCAUUUCUAAGGUUGACCUCGGAUCAGGUAGGGAUACCCGCUGAACUUAAGCAUAUCAUAG